This 406-nucleotide ribosomal RNA is filed under the name uncultured bacterium. RNAcentral's name for it is "partial 16S ribosomal RNA". It matches the Rfam family "Bacterial small subunit ribosomal RNA", at positions 30 to 526 of the family's 1533-position model. The record is from RNAcentral.
AUUGAACGCUGGCGGCAGGCUUAACACAUGCAAGUCGAACGAGCGGCGGACGGGUGAGUAAUGUCUGGGAAACUGCAUGAUGGAGGGGGAUAACUACUGGAAACGGUAGCUAAUACCGCAUACCAUCAGAUGUGCCCAGAUGGGAUUAGCUAGUAGGUGGGGUAAUGGCUCAACUAGGCGACGAUCCCUAGCUGGUCUGCGAGGAAGACCAGCCACACUGGACAUGAGAAACGGUCCAGAAUCAUACGGGAGGCAGUAGUGGUGAAUAUUGCACAAUGGGCGCAAGCCUGAUGCAGCCAUGCCGCGUGUGUGAAGAAGGCCUGCGGGUUGUAAAGCACUUUCAGCGAGGAGGCGUUACUCGCAGAAGAAGCACCGGAUAACUCCGUGCCAGCAGACGCGGUAAUUC